GUCUUUUAAUUGGAGUCUGGAAUGAAUGGUUGGAUGAGGGAUUGACUUUCUUUACUUUAAGAUUAUGAAUUUGAUUUCUAUGUUAAAAAGCAUGGAUUUUAUUAUAGGACGAGAAGACCCUAUAAAACUUUAUUAUUUAUAUAUAAUGGUUGUUAUAGUAUUAUUAUUUAGUCUUUUUAUAUAAAUAAUUUGAUUGGGGUGAUGGAAAAAAUUUUAUAACUUUUUUUAAAAAAAACAUAUAUUUAUGUUAUUUUGAUCCUUUAUUAUGGAAAUAAGAUUAAGUUACUUUAGGGAUAACAGCGUUAUUUUAUCAAAGAGUUCAUAUCGAAGAUAAAGUUUGCGACCUCGAUGUUGGAUUAAAAUUAGGAGCAGGGGUAGGUUCUUGUUUUUUAGGUCUGUUCGACCUUUAUAUUUUUACA
RNAcentral lists this ribosomal RNA (419 nucleotides) under Deraeocoris claspericapilatus. Its description in RNAcentral is "partial 16S ribosomal RNA". The stretch from base 293 to 419 matches the Rfam family "Bacterial large subunit ribosomal RNA", at positions 2473 to 2600 of the family's 2925-position model. Lineage: Eukaryota; Metazoa; Arthropoda; Insecta; Hemiptera; Miridae. The record is from RNAcentral.